Non-coding RNA from Klebsiella pneumoniae ISC21, 85 nucleotides. The record is from Rfam. Lineage: Bacteria; Pseudomonadati; Pseudomonadota; Gammaproteobacteria; Enterobacterales; Enterobacteriaceae.
AACGCAUCGGAUUUCCCGGUGUAACGAAUUUUCAAGUGCUUCUUGCAUUAGCAAGUUUGAUCCCGACUCCUGCGAGUCGGGAUUU